CAGGUUAAGCCAGCACUUAACACCACAUGAAAUUGAAGUUCACGGAAUUCAAAGACGAGGCCCAAGAGGCAGCAGCAGAGGUCAGCAUCUCCACCACCCCAUCAGGUCCUGCCCAUGUUGACCCAGAUGCUGGGACAGGAGGCACACACUGAACUUACUGCUCCCGUUGACUUCUCAUCUGGUUCCAGGCUUUGAAGAGGGUCAGAAGGAUGGAAGACUUGGCCCCUCCUCUCUAGGAGUGUACACCAUGCCUGAGGAGACCACAUAUCAACGUGGAACAGCCCCGGUUAGGGCACAAGGGCGCUGGGGCCUGGACAGUCAUGCCAUGGGAGCUCAGUGGGAGGCUGGACUUAGGUUGAGGUGUGUGGGGAGAGCUUCCUGGACAGCUGGGAUCUAAGGAUGCUUAAAUCAUGGACAGGAAAGCAGCUGCAGCCUAACGAAGAGCAGGGGUGUUAGGAGGCUUCCCUAAAGUUCUGUGACCCUGUAGAACUGUUGCCACUGCUAUGGUCACUACUGCAACUACAAGCACUGCACCUGGCAUGGGAGCUUGAUGGGCCAGAGCACAUGCAAAGAGGGCAUCGGAAAUCCCAGAAGGGUAUGCAGGACCUUGUACCCUGUGGGAUUCCCAUGCUUACUUCAGGCAAACAGUAAGCCAGUAAGUGGAUGGCUGGCAGAGCUUCCCCCAGACUCUGAGGCUCUCAAACCCAUCUUUCGUGCAGAGAGAAUUGUGUGGUUAUCAUCCCCAGAACUCACCUGCUGAGUAAUUCGAUGCAAGUGAUUUGAUGUUCAGUCCCUCCUAGCAGGAGGCAGACCAGCAGGGAGUUACAGUUAACACUAACUGAGCACGGCUAUUGAGGCAGGAGAGUAGGGUCUGGAGGCAGGGAACCUAAGGCUGAUUCGCGCCGACUUCCUAGAACUGAAUCAAAAAGAAAAGCCCACCUCUCCACACCCAAAUAACAAAAGGAUCAGAGGCUACUCCCUUUGCAACCCUCCAACUUCCCCUGCAUUGCAGAUGAAAACUGAAAGUACCUCUGAUUGGUCCCCUCCUGCAACCAGUCAGGCUGGUCACAGGCCAAGUCUUCAUUUGCAGAGGAGUAUAACUUUGUAAGUUCACUUCAGCCUCUGAUUGGUCACUUUCUGCAAUCAAUCAGAUAUUUGCAUAGGGUGUAACUUUGUAUCUUCACUUCAGCCUCUGAUUAGUUGCUUUCUGCAAUCAAUCAGACUGAUCGUGGGCCACUAUUUCAUUUACAUAGGGUGUAAACCAAGUAACCAAUGGAAAACCUCUAGAGGGUAUUUAAACCCCAGAAAAUUCUGUAACCAAAGCUCUUGAGCUGCUUGCUCGAGCCCACUCCCACUCUGUGUAGCGUACUUUUGUUUCAAUAAAUCUGUGCUUUUCUUUUGUUGCUUUGUUUGUGCUUUUUGUCCAAUUCUUUGUUUAAAA
Gorilla gorilla gorilla (western lowland gorilla) is the source of this 1441-nucleotide long non-coding RNA. RefSeq lists it as uncharacterized. The transcript has 3 exons. NCBI's taxonomy places the organism in Eukaryota, Metazoa, Chordata, Mammalia, Primates, Hominidae. The record is from RefSeq and is a predicted model, not a curated record.